RNAcentral lists this ribosomal RNA (366 nucleotides) under Triticum aestivum (bread wheat). RNAcentral's name for it is "partial small subunit ribosomal RNA". Lineage: Eukaryota; Viridiplantae; Streptophyta; Magnoliopsida; Poales; Poaceae. The record is from RNAcentral.
AUGGUGGGCGCUGGUCGGGAGCGUGGUCUGAGGUCUUCCAUUCCAGACGCACCUCUCCGCCAAGCGUUGCUGGACAGUAUGGCCACACCGCCGGGCCCUUCUUCGUCGACCGCGGUGCCCAGCAGGGGACAAGCUCGAGGUAGGAAGAGAGGAGGUGGGGCACGUGGUCGUGGGAGAGGAGGUAGGGCUACGGCGCCUUCCUCGCCGCCACCCCCGGCUAUUUCACCCGAGCACGUGACUGCUAGGGUGGACUCGUCCGAGGAGGGGCUACACGGACUCCGGUCCACGAGCCUCCGGUCCACGGGUCUUGGGCCCACGAGCCUCGGGUCGACUGGCCUUCGGCCCACGAGAGUUCGGCCCACGUGA